UUUUUUUUUCCUAUUCCUAACCUUUCCUGUUCCUAUCUCCUUUCAAAUCCCUAUUCUAGAGGUGGCAUAUACCAUAUCACUAUGAGCAGGGCUCGACAAACCACUGUUUCUACUUGCCCAUGGCGAGUAGAUUUCAGCCGGUCGCUCCGUUUGCCCCGUUUGCUGGUCUGGUGCGUGUGCGGUGCAGGGCUGGCGAGUAGAUCUUGCCGUGGUUUGUCAAGUCCUGAAUAUGAGGAUAGUUGAAAUCUCCCAUUUAUUACUGAAUUUUCUGCCAUUGUAGCCUCUGUAAUCUCCCUGAGCAUUUCAACAACCAUUGUCAAAAGCUGAGCAGGACUGUUCCCUAGUAUGCUAUUAAGGUUUUGUUCACUCCCAACCUAUGGGAAUGCCACUCUUUCACUCUCAGUGAUUGUUUCACUGUCAUCCUCUCCCCUUUUGAUCUCAGGUCACACUUUGAAUGCAUGGAGAAACUCACUCACAAUCCCUUUUUGUUGUUAUUGCUGUCCUAUUUGAUUGCUGGCUGGAGCUAGUGAGUUAAGUUUGAACUAAGACCAUCAUGUGUCUGGCAUACUGGCCUGGCAAACUCUGCUUCUUAGGACAACAAAGGAAGAAGGUGCUUCCUGAACUCCAGUUUGGUACAGGGAUUUUAUUUGAACAUUGAUCUUUCUGUCUUUCAGGAGUUAUUGAGCGCUGCACAGCUGUGAAGUACCAUUACACUUCAUCCUCUCUGCCACGCAACUUACCCAUCAAUAUUACCAACAUCAUCCGUCAGGACGAGUGGCAUGCUCUCCAUCUGCGGAGGAUGACAGCUGGUUUCAUUGGCAUGGCAGUUUCCAUCAUCCUGUUUGGCUGGAUCAUUGGUAUGCUGGGCUGCUGUAAACAGCAUGAGCUCAUGCAGUAUGUGGCAGGACUGCUCUUCCUCAUGGGAGGUACAUGCUGCAUCAUCUCACUUUGUACCUGUGUGGCUGGGAUUAACUUUGAGUUGUCUCGCUAUCCUCGCUAUGUCUAUGGGCUGCCUGAGGAUAUCAGCCAUGGCUAUGGCUGGUCCAUGUUCUGUGCCUGGGGAGGCCUGGGACUUACUCUUCUGGCUGGAUUCCUCUGCACAUUGGCCCCCUCGCUCAAUGCCUCUCGUACUGCUGUACAGAAACCCAGACAUGAAAAUGGAGCUGUGUGACCUCAAAGAGUGCAGGAGAAGACACUCCAGCAAAUACAGCCUAGGUAAAGCUGUAGGCUAACAGCACUGUGGGGAUGGUGCUAUACCUGUGGAAGAAAUGAGGAAUGUUAAAGCUGUUUGGCCAAGUCCUGUGGUGUAUGCCACUGUAUGAUUCUCCUGCUACAGACUCGAUGCAGGCUCUACACCAAGCCAGGGUUUGACUUCUAAUGUGCUCUUUUAUAUAAGAGGGAUUAUCUCCUGUGUUAUUUGAAACACUAACUGCACCUGUGUUCUAGUCCAGUUGUGGAGGAGUCUAGUUCAUUAUAAAAAUAUAACUGCAUGUGCAGGAGCCUGACUGUCCUUCAACAUGGCUUGGCCCAGCCCGCCAAUUUUCCAGAACAUCUUGGAGCUCCAGAUGGUUAGAGCACACAGCAAUUUGUCAUUUCCCCUCAGUACGGACUAAUCUGCUGCAAAAAGUGAGGCUCACUUGAAUGAAGGCUACCUGGUGGCUACCAGCCCCCUCCUCCUUUGGCAAGGGGGAAGUUGGUCCCUCUGCUUGCUACCUUACUCUUCAAGCAGCUGAACUUGGUCAUUCUUUAAGCAGCAGUAGCAUCUGCUAGCUAAUGCACAUGAUCCUAGUUACAAAUAUGUGCAAAAGCUAGGAUCAAUGAUCUACAAGCAACCUUCACUCACUAUAGAGCUGUUCCAGAACAGGAUCAAGGUGCAUUUGUCACAGUGGAAGUGUUUCAGCUGCUAGACUCACCCUCAAGGACCCCCUCUCUUGAAGAAUGUGAUGCCUACUUGCAAAGAAAGAGCUCUUGGUGAAAAGAAUUACUAGCUUUUACUGUUGAGGGAACACUUUAAUCACAAUAGCCUGUUGCCAUCUGUCCACCAGAAAGAAGCGUGGCUUUUACGCUAUACAGAGACCAUGUAUGAAAUUGAGCAUGAGUUCAGCUUUGUCCUCACAAUUGUCCAUCUGGAAGGUGGAAGACAACCUGUGCACAGCUCAACUGAUGUCAUGUCCUUUAACCAGCAGAGAACCAUUUUUGGAGGAAUGGAUGGUAAGCAGCUUGUUAACCAACCCACAUCAGCACUAGGGCUAAUUCAGGAACACAAGCCAAGCUAUAGCCAGGUACAGUUUUCUUUCAUACAUACCAUCCCCUCCUCCCAGCUUAAAGUGCACAGGCAGUGGGAUGUUUACAGUAUUUCUGUAACACAGCUGAAUAGCAUGUAAGUUAAACAGUGCUAAAAAAAAAUCAAUGUAUUUAUAAAGUGUCAUUUUUAAAUGGAGGUUGUGCGUCUCAACUGGCAUUAAAGUACUGAAAAACU
Molecule: non-coding RNA, 2479 nt
Organism: Pelodiscus sinensis (Chinese soft-shelled turtle)
Lineage: Eukaryota; Metazoa; Chordata; Testudines; Trionychidae
Source: RefSeq, a predicted model, not a curated record